CACCCAUUCACACUCCAUUCACACUCAUCCCUCGAAUGUUUCCAGCAGCCCUCAUCCCUCGAACUCUUCUCCUCCGGUAGAAGGUGGUGUCGCCGCCGGCGGGGACAGACCGUGGGUGCCCUCAUCAUCUGGGGAAGCUCUACUCGGCCCUCUUCGCAUCGUUCCUCCUCAUCUCGCCGUCGCACGAAGUUCUGAGUUGAGCUCGUGGCGUCGCCGUCGCGAAGGGUUCCUCCCCUCCUCACCAUCCAUUGUUUCUGAUUCUCUGCUCCUCGCCGGUAGUAGUUGCUGCGUGUAUUGGCUUUGAUGUUUGUGCAAAGGAGUUGAAGAUUGAUCAGCCUUGAAGUUUGGUAAAUGUGGUGAUUCAUAUCUUCAAAAUUUGCUUCAGGUUGGAGAAGGUGGCACCCAACUUUCUGGAGGAUAGAAGCAGAGAAUUGCUAUAGCUGAUUGGGAGUAGCAAAGGUGGUUGAGAACGACAUGUUUGUUUUGAUGAACAAAGAACGGACAUAUUCAAUCUCAAGCUGCACACUGCUGGGAUCAUUGCUGCCAGUUUCGGAUUGGCAAAUCUUUUCUCCAGGCCCGGUGGAGGGUUCAUAUCUGAUGCAGUUUCAAAGAGGUUUGGAAUGAGGGUUUGAAAUUGGAUUGCAAGACAAGGAGAAUGUUUGAGGAAAAGGGGUGUUACAGGUUACAGGCAGGAGAGACAGAGCCAAGCCUCUGCCAUUCAAGAUGGAUUCUAGCGGCCCAUAGGUCUUUGCCGGAGCUAAUGAAGGGAACCCAAGAGUCAGAUCCAAGUUUAUUGCACCAUGUUAUUAUAUGAACAA
Molecule: non-coding RNA, 818 nt
Organism: Arachis ipaensis
Lineage: Eukaryota; Viridiplantae; Streptophyta; Magnoliopsida; Fabales; Fabaceae
Source: RefSeq, a predicted model, not a curated record